CCUACGGGUGGCAGCAGUGGGGAAUAUUGGACAAUGGGCGCAAGCCUGAUCCAGCCAUGCCGCGUGAGUGAUGAAGGCCUUAGGGUUGUAAAGCUCUUUUACCCGGGAAGAUAAUGACGGUACCGGGAGAAUAAGCCCCGGCUAACUUCGUGCCAGCAGCCGCGGUAAUACGAAGGGGGCUAGCGUUGUUCGGAAUCACUGGGCGUAAAGCGCACGUAGGCGGAUCUUUAAGUCAGAGGUGAAAGCCUGGAGCUCAACUCCAGAACUGCCUUUGAUACUGGGGAUCUCGAGUCCGGGAGAGGUGAGUGGAACUGCGAGUGUAGAGGUGAAAUUCGUAGAUAUUCGCAAGAACACCAGUGGCGAAGGCGGCUCACUGGCCCGGUACUGACGCUGAGGUGCGAAAGCGUGGGGAGCAAACAGGAUUAGAUACCCUUGUAGUC
Molecule: ribosomal RNA, 440 nt
Filed under: uncultured Alphaproteobacteria bacterium
Lineage: Bacteria; Pseudomonadati; Pseudomonadota; Alphaproteobacteria
Description: bacterial SSU rRNA
Rfam family: Bacterial small subunit ribosomal RNA
Source: RNAcentral